RNAcentral lists this ribosomal RNA (804 nucleotides) under Triticum aestivum (bread wheat). RNAcentral's name for it is "partial small subunit ribosomal RNA". Lineage: Eukaryota; Viridiplantae; Streptophyta; Magnoliopsida; Poales; Poaceae. The record is from RNAcentral.
AUGUGCACCCCGGCCCGCUUAUCUGCGGGAGGCAGGAGACUCUGGUACAAGAGGAGGCGCCAGGACGGGCGGGCCACCGGGGAAAUCCUCCGCCGGGCCGCCGGGGGAAUCCAGCGCGGGUCGCAGCGGGCACCGCCGCCCCUGUCAUCUCGCCGCCUCCUGGAGUAUGGAUCCAUCUCAGGCCAGAUUGGGAACGGGGUUGGGGCAGCAAUUAUUGUCAGGUGUUCACAUCUAAGCAGUCAUCAUGCUGAACUACAGCAAGCUCAACAAGCUGCCACGAUCGUUGAAGAGGACGAAUCAGACAGGGGGGAUGGAUAUAACGGGAUGGUGGAUGAAGUCAUACAAGCCAUUAUCAUGGGACCGAAUAAGGUUUUUAAGUUCAACGAGAGCGACGUUGAGAAGGUAUUCAGAAUGCCAGCAGUUGGAACAGAUGCGAUGGACAAAACCCUUGAUAGGAGCGAGACUGUUUUUGCAUACUUGCGAGCUCGAUUGGGGAUAGAGAAUAAGGAGAUAAGAAGUCUGAAGAGCAUACAGUCCACACUGUCACGUCACUAUAAGGGGAAGAUGUCACAAGCAGAGGUGGCUGCAUUCAAAACUACGUACAUCGUUUUCAUGAUGACACAUGUAUUUGCACCGACAGUCAAGAACGACUACUUCUACACCGACUAUUGGUCCGCACUGGUUGACCCGGAUAGCUUGGAUAAGUUCAAUUGGGGAAGAUAUAUCGUUGAAGUAUUGUGUGCUGCCGCCGGGAAGAUGAAACAAGAUAUUCGCAGGAAAACCACGGUGUCGAACAUAACAUGA